AUGAGGCAUAUUUUUAGAUCAAAGUAUUAUGACUUCAAAUAUCCAAUACAUCAUCAUAUAAAACCAAAAGGGAAAGAUACAUAUCCAGAUUUUUCGAUUGAGAGAAAAACCCAUUGCAAUUUCAAGAUGUUACAGAAUAUCAUGGUUCAUCCAAAGUCACCAUGUCACGUUCCAAGUUUUGAUCGUAAGCCCAUUCACAUAUUGGAAAUAAUCCAAAACCAUUAUAAAUUCAGACCAUUAUACCUAUAA
Vicia faba (fava bean) is the source of this 249-nucleotide non-coding RNA. NCBI's taxonomy places the organism in Eukaryota, Viridiplantae, Streptophyta, Magnoliopsida, Fabales, Fabaceae. The record is from the annotation of a GenBank genome assembly.